CCCCGCCGUACCAAGACCAUUUCUACGGCGGUAAGAAGCAGCAGGAGAUGUGCUUUGUGUGCAGCUUGGGGAUGGAGAAGAGCAAGGAUUGCAGUUGCAGCUUCGGUAGUUUGGACAUUAAUGGCGGAAGCCAGAGCUCGACAGCUGGCAGCAGCAGGAGAUGUGCUUCGUUUGCAGCUUGGGGAUGGAUAAGAGCAAGGAUUGCAGUUGCAGCGUCGGUAGUUUGGACAUUAAUGGCGGGAGCCAGAGCUCGACAGCU
This 259-nucleotide long non-coding RNA is filed under the name Linum usitatissimum (flax). RNAcentral's name for it is "long non-coding RNA (LUSI_LNC000704)". The record is from RNAcentral. Lineage: Eukaryota; Viridiplantae; Streptophyta; Magnoliopsida; Malpighiales; Linaceae.